This 64-nucleotide transfer RNA is filed under the name Curculionoidea sp. 19 KM-2017. RNAcentral describes it as "tRNA-Cys". Lineage: Eukaryota; Metazoa; Arthropoda; Insecta; Coleoptera. The record is from RNAcentral.
AGUUAAAUAAUCUAAAAAAGAUAUUAAAUUGCAAAUUUAAUUAUAAUAGUUAUAUUUUUAACUU